GAUGAACGCUAGCGGGAGGCCUAACACAUGCAAGCCGAGCGGUAUUUCUUCUUCGGGAGAGAGAGAGCGGCGUACGGGUGCGGAACACGUGUGCAACCUGCCUUUAUCUAGAGGAUAGCCUUUCGAAAGGAAGAUUAAUACUCUAUAAUAUAUUAAUUGGCAUCAAUUGAUAUUGAAAACUCCGGUGGAUAGAGAUGGGCACGCACAAGAUUAGCUAGUUGGUGAGGUAACGGCUCACCAAGGCAAUGAUCUUUAGGGGGCCUGAGAGGGUGAUCCCCCACACUGGUACUGAGACACGGACCAGACUCCUACGGGAGGCAGCAGUGAGGAAUAUUGGUCAAUGGGUGCAAGCCUGAACCAGCCAUCCCGCGUGAAGGAUUAAGGUCCUAUGGAUUGUAAACUUCUUUUGUAUAGGAUAAACUUACCCCCGUGAGGGUAGCUGAAGGUACUAUACGAAUAAGCACCGGCUAACUCCGUGCCAGCAGCCGCCGUAA
This 494-nucleotide ribosomal RNA is filed under the name uncultured bacterium. RNAcentral's name for it is "partial 16S ribosomal RNA". It matches the Rfam family "Bacterial small subunit ribosomal RNA", at positions 28 to 523 of the family's 1533-position model. The record is from RNAcentral.